Molecule: long non-coding RNA, 1065 nt
Filed under: Ornithorhynchus anatinus (platypus)
Lineage: Eukaryota; Metazoa; Chordata; Mammalia; Monotremata; Ornithorhynchidae
Description: lncRNA (ENSOANG00000049336.1)
Source: RNAcentral
CCUUGUGACCCCCUCCGUUGAGUGCCCGGGCAACCAGGUCCCAGCCCAGACCUCACGUCUGACUCCCCCCAGGCCGCAGAUCCAUCGAUUUCGCCGUACUUCACACUCACCCGUAAAAUUCGCCCGCAGCGCGGCCCCGGGAGGCGAGUUCACCGACGGCGAGGUCUCGGACGGUGGCGGAUGGAGCCGAACUGCCACCCGAGGACUCCGCGGGCUGGGCGGGUGCGGAAAGGGAAGGACAGCUGGAUGGCCAUAAAGCCGCCGGAUGGGAUGCUGAAGUGAGGCGGCGGCCAACGGGGUGGCCAGCAGGAACCGGUCAAAAGAAACGCGGGUGAUGUAAGCCGCCAGGCCUAGUGGCUAGAGCCCCGGCCUGGGAUUCAGACGGACUUGGAAGCUAUUCCCGGCUCCGCCACCUGUCUGCCCGGUGACCUGGAGCAAGUCACUUCCCUCCUCUGGGCCUCAGUCCCCUCAUCUGUAAAAUGGGGAUCAAGACUGUGGGACAGGGACUGUAUCCAACUUGAUUACCUUGUAUCUACCGCAGCGCUUAGAGCAGUGCGGAGUAAGCACUCAGCAAACACCAUCAUCAACAGCGCUUGACGCACAGUGAGCGCUUAACAAAUACCAUUAAAAAAAAAAAAUGGCAGGUCCUCAGACGGCCGAGAAACGACAGAGGGAGUCUUACGUCCUAGACUUCCAGCAGUCGGAAAUGGGGCGGUAAUCACAGUAGCAGGUCAGACAGAAACGAGAGCAAUGUCUUUCCCAAACAGGAGGUCAGCCUUGGCCUUUACCUGUUCUCCACUCCCGCUCUGCCAGCCCCGGACGCCGAGAUGAAAACGCUACCGUCCGUUGAAGUUCAAACAAACGGGACGGCGGUGGAACUGGGGGAAGGAGCGAGGGGGAAUCUCUUCAGUUUUAGAUGCUCAUCGAGACUUAUCCUUUCCUGGAUUGGUGAACUAGUUGCCGAGGAAUCCGUCGUUCCCGGGCCAGAGCUCUGAAAGUCGCUACUGAGGCAGCCCAGAUUUACGGCCUUCUAGCCAAACCAGAAUUCAAAGCAACACUUAGGCG